CCUCCCGAGUGCUGGGAUUAAAGGUG
RNAcentral lists this non-coding RNA (26 nucleotides) under Cricetulus griseus (Chinese hamster). The record is from RNAcentral. RNAcentral also lists the same sequence under 1 other name. Lineage: Eukaryota; Metazoa; Chordata; Mammalia; Rodentia; Cricetidae.